UUUCACCUCUGUUUCCUCAAUCAUAAAAUGGAGGCAGUAUUCAUGAUGUUCUGUACCUCGUGGGUUCUGAAGUUUUCCAUGACUUUUAUCCCCGUCUCUAGGCUAGGCCCUGGCCCGUAGCGGGCGCAUUAAAUGCCCGAUAAAUGAGUGAGCCUGGAUAAUAAGGUGGACGCCCGCUGUUGAGUUUCCACUGCCGAGCAAAAAAACAGAACUGUGGCGCUUAGUGACUUGGCCGGUCCCAUGGAAUGAUGCACAUCCAGUCCUUGGGGGAAACUUCCCCCAGCCACGUCCAUCUUAACAUUCCUUUUUCCUCUCAUCGCUUGGGGAGCGGUCUAUGAGCAGAAAGCAGGAAAGGAAGUGCCCUGCCCGAGCCCCCUGGCCCACCUCCCACCAGAGGCAAUGCACGCCCUGUGAACACCAAAGAGAAGGUGGCCCUGGAACUAAACAGUGGCACCCGGGACCCUGGAAUGCACAUCACAGAACCUUCCUGAACACAUGCCCAUUAGGGUAUUUUGCUUUCUGCUUUGACAGCUCUUUCUCACCCAGAUCACACGCUUUUUUCUUUUUUAAUUUCCUUUUCUUUCUCCCUCCCUCCCUAUAUUGAUCCCAGCUCCCUUUUACUUUUUCCCACCCACAUUCAUAUUUUUUCAUAUCUAGGUUCUUCAGGGUAGAAAGAGAUCUGCUUAAGGUAGCUCCAGAAUGGGCACCUGUGGCAUCCCAUAGUCCUUCUUCUGUUCUCCUGUUGGCAACCUUGAGGCCAUUUUCACGGGAAGAUGGGCUGUCAUUCCAGAGGCACCUCAUACCCAAACCAGAGGGACAGGGAUGGCUGCAGACAGCUAAGAGCCAUCCCAGCCUGGGUCAUUUCCAUUUUCGCUUUAUAAAUUGCCUCAAAAGAAUUUUGUUUCAAUGAUACGAAUCCCCUUUCCUUUGGGGUCCGCAGGUGUCACAUAUAGAAAAGGAGCAGAAAAGGGAGAAGCAACAAAUUGGAGACAAAGUCAAGGACGCAUAAAGGCCACGUUCGUUAAGACUCAAUCUUUAAUAACUUCUUUUAGUUAUUAUCAAUUUUUCCUGGCCCUUUAUUAUUAUUUUUUUUCAUCUCUCUUUCUAAUACGUGUGUUCAGUGCAGCUCAGGUUAUGUGCUUGGCUUCUGGAAAUAGAUGAUGCAAAAGAAACACUGUAGUGUGUACCAGCAGCAUUGAAGGAAUAGAAAAUGCUCCCUUUUACCCAUUUUAGAGAGAACCACCCCACCCAACAGACAGGCAAAAUUCUGCAAUUUGGCGAGGGGCGGGGGAGGCCUUAGGGAAUUGUCUUUCUGGCCACCGGCUUUGUGAAUGACCAGGAGGCAGUGAGACCUCCGAUUGGUACAAUUUGGCCUUGUGUUCACUCGCUAAUG
Molecule: long non-coding RNA, 1393 nt
Organism: Prionailurus viverrinus (fishing cat)
Lineage: Eukaryota; Metazoa; Chordata; Mammalia; Carnivora; Felidae
Exons: 3
Source: RefSeq, a predicted model, not a curated record